RNAcentral lists this ribosomal RNA (237 nucleotides) under uncultured bacterium. Its description in RNAcentral is "partial 16S ribosomal RNA". It matches the Rfam family "Bacterial small subunit ribosomal RNA", at positions 118 to 352 of the family's 1533-position model. The record is from RNAcentral.
UGAGGAACAUGCCCUUCGGCGGGGGAUAGCCGGCCCAACGGCCGGGUAAUACCGCGUACGACCACAUGGGGACAUCCCUGAGUGGUGAAAGCAGCAAUGCGCCGAUGGAGUGCCUCGCGGCCUAUCAGCUAGUUGGUGGGGUAACGGCCUACCAAGGCAACGACGGGUAGCUGGUCUGAGGGGAUGGCCAGCCACAUUGGGACUGAGACACGGCCCAGACUCCUACGGGAGGNAGCG